UGUAAACUUCCUAGUAUAUAUGUCUGAUUAAUCUAACAACAUUAAAUUUUUAUGUCUUUUGAUAUAUUUCUUAUUUAUUUUCUUAAAUAAGAAUCUUUCGAGUUUGCUUCGCUAACUUCUGCGUUAUGUAUAUCUUCAAUCUUUAAGACUUUAGUCAUGCUGAAAGAUCGAAAACUAUAUUUAAAUUUAAUUAGUUAAAUAAAAUCUAUUUUUA
RNAcentral lists this unclassified non-coding RNA (214 nucleotides) under Hevea brasiliensis (rubber tree). Lineage: Eukaryota; Viridiplantae; Streptophyta; Magnoliopsida; Malpighiales; Euphorbiaceae. The record is from RNAcentral.